CCUACGGGAGGCAGCAGUGGGGAAUAUUGGACAAUGGGCGAAAGCCUGAUCCAGCCAUGCCGCGUGUGUGAAGAAGGCCUUCGGGUUGUAAAGCACUUUCAGUGGGGAAGAAAGCCUUGGGGCUAAUACCCUCGAGGAAGGACAUCACCCACAGAAGAAGCACCGGCUAACUCCGUGCCAGCAGCCGCGGUAAUACGGAGGGUGCGAGCGUUAAUCGGAAUUACUGGGCGUAAAGCGCGCGUAGGCGGUCUGAUAAGCCGGUUGUGAAAGCCCCGGGCUCAACCUGGGAACGGCAUCCGGAACUGUCAGGCUAGAGUGCAGGAGAGGAAGGUAGAAUUCCCGGUGGAGCGGUGAAAUGCGUAGAGAUCGGGAGGAAUACCAGUGGCGAAGGCGGCCUUCUGGACUGACACUGACGCUGAGGUGCGAAAGCGUGGGUAGCAAACAGGAUUAGAUACCCGGGUAGUC
RNAcentral lists this ribosomal RNA (465 nucleotides) under Vreelandella stevensii. RNAcentral's name for it is "partial 16S ribosomal RNA". It matches the Rfam family "Bacterial small subunit ribosomal RNA", at positions 338 to 795 of the family's 1533-position model. The record is from RNAcentral. Lineage: Bacteria; Pseudomonadati; Pseudomonadota; Gammaproteobacteria; Oceanospirillales; Halomonadaceae.